RNAcentral lists this ribosomal RNA (496 nucleotides) under uncultured bacterium. RNAcentral describes it as "partial 16S ribosomal RNA". It matches the Rfam family "Bacterial small subunit ribosomal RNA", at positions 28 to 506 of the family's 1533-position model. The record is from RNAcentral.
GAUGAACGCUGGCGGCGUGCCUAAUACAUGCAAGUCGAGCGAACGGACGAGAAGCUUGCUUCUCUGAUGUUAGCGGCGGACGGGUGAGUAACACGUGGAUAACCUACCUAUAAGACUGGGAUAACUUCGGGAAACCGGAGUUAAUACCGGAUAAUAUUUUGAACCGCAUGGUUCAAAAGUGAAAGACGGUCUUGCUGUCACUUAUAGAUGGAUCCGCGCUGCAUUAGCUAGUUGGUAAGGUAACGGCUUACCAAGGCAACGAUGCAUAGCCGACCUGAGAGGGUGAUCGGCCACACUGGAACUGAGACACGGUCCAGACUCCUACGGGAGGCAGCAGUAGGGAAUCUUCCGCAAUGGGCGAAAGCCUGACGGAGCAACGCCGCGUGAGUGAUGAAGGUCUUCGGAUCGUAAAACUCUGUUAUUAGGGAAGAACAUAUGUGUAAGUAACUGUGCACAUCUUGACGGUACCUAAUCAGAAAGCCACGGCUAACUACGU